This 270-nucleotide ribosomal RNA is filed under the name Triticum aestivum (bread wheat). RNAcentral describes it as "partial small subunit ribosomal RNA". The record is from RNAcentral. Lineage: Eukaryota; Viridiplantae; Streptophyta; Magnoliopsida; Poales; Poaceae.
AGCUCCAAGAAUACGCGGAGGAGGUGGCCCGGGUUGGCGUCGGCGCCGUCCGGCGCGGGCCACGGGCCCGCUUCCAAGUGCGUCUGCGCGCCGGCCACCCAUGCCGGGUCCUUCAAGUGCCGCUUCCACCGCACCAACUCCCAGGGCCACGGCCACGGACAGGGCCAGGGAAGCCGCCCUUCUUCACCCCUUUCACCGCCCGCGGCCAACGCGGUGCCGCGGCACCCGGCCUCGCCGUCCUCGUCCUCCGGCACCGUCGCGACCCAGUGA